ACUUUAUACUGUGAACUGCGAAUGGCUCAUUAAAUCAGUUAUCGUUUAUUUGAUAGUACCUUACUACAUGGAUACCUGUGGUAAUUCUAGAGCUAAUACAUGCUAAAAACCCCGACUUCAGGAAGGGGUGUAUUUAUUAGAUAAAAAACCAACGCCCUUCGGGGCUCCUUGGUGAAUCAUAAUAACUUAACGAAUCGCAUGGCCUUGCGCCGGCGAUGGUUCAUUCAAAUUUCUGCCCUAUCAACUUUCGAUGGUAGGAUAGUGGCCUACCAUGGUGGCAACGGGUAACGGGGAAUUAGGGUUCGAUUCCGGAGAGGGAGCCUGA
RNAcentral lists this ribosomal RNA (325 nucleotides) under Penicillium decumbens. RNAcentral describes it as "SSU rRNA". It matches the Rfam family "Eukaryotic small subunit ribosomal RNA", at positions 71 to 399 of the family's 1831-position model. Lineage: Eukaryota; Fungi; Ascomycota; Eurotiomycetes; Eurotiales; Aspergillaceae. The record is from RNAcentral.